CUGAGAGUACCGGGCUUCUGCCUGGCUACUUUUACCCAUGUUUUUGUAGCACCAAAAGUUUCCUCGGCGGGUUCUGCCCGCCGGUUGGACUCCAUUCAAACCCUUUGUAGUUGCAGUCAGCGUCAGAUAAACUUAAUAAUUA
Molecule: unclassified non-coding RNA, 142 nt
Filed under: uncultured Thyrostroma
Lineage: Eukaryota; Fungi; Ascomycota; Dothideomycetes
Description: sequence contains ITS1
Source: RNAcentral